RNAcentral lists this ribosomal RNA (497 nucleotides) under uncultured bacterium. RNAcentral's name for it is "partial 16S ribosomal RNA". It matches the Rfam family "Bacterial small subunit ribosomal RNA", at positions 28 to 507 of the family's 1533-position model. The record is from RNAcentral.
GAUGAACGCUGGCGGCGUGCCUAAUACAUGCAAGUCGAACGGUCAGACGAGGAACUUUCUCCUUUGACUUUCGCGGCGGAGGGGGGUGUAACACGUGGAUAACCUACCUAUAAGAAUGGGAUAACUUCGGGAAACCGGAACCUAUACCGGCUAAUCUAUUUAACAGCAUGGUUCAAUAGUGUAAGACGGUUUUGCUGUCGCUUUUAGCUGGUUCCGCGCCGCAUUAGCUAGUUGGUAAGGUAACGGCUUACCCAGGCAACGAUGCGUAGCCGACCUGAGAGGGUGAUCGGCCACACUGGAACUGAGACACGGUCCAGACUCCUACGGGAGGCAGCAGUAGGGAAUCUUCCGCAAUGGGCGAAAGCCUGACGGAGCAACGCCGCGUGAGUGAUGAAGGUCUUCGGGUCGUAAAACUCUGUUAUUAGGGAAGAACAAAUGUGUAAGUAAAUAUGCACGUAUUGACGGUACUUGAUCAGAAAGCCACGGCUAACUACGUG